UACGUAGGGCGCAAGCGUUGUCCGGAAUUAUUGGGCGUAAAGAGCUCGUAGGCGGUUUGUCGCGUCUGCUGUGAAAUCCCGAGGCUCAACCUCGGGCUUGCAGUGGGUACGGGCAGACUAGAGUGCGGUAGGGGAGACUGGAAUUCCUGGUGUAGCGGUGGAGUGCGCAGAUAUCAGGAGGAACACCGAUGGCGAAGGCAGGUCUCUGGGCCGCAACUGACGCUGAGGAGCGAAAGCAUGGGGAGCGAACAGG
RNAcentral lists this ribosomal RNA (253 nucleotides) under uncultured bacterium. RNAcentral's name for it is "partial 16S ribosomal RNA". It matches the Rfam family "Bacterial small subunit ribosomal RNA", at positions 524 to 776 of the family's 1533-position model. The record is from RNAcentral.